RNAcentral lists this non-coding RNA (156 nucleotides) under Alphaproteobacteria bacterium. RNAcentral's name for it is "6S RNA". It matches the Rfam family "6S / SsrS RNA". From Rfam's summary of the family: E. coli 6S RNA was the first non coding RNA to be sequenced, but its function was unknown until recently. It consists of 184 nucleotides that fold into an extended hairpin structure with a large single-stranded internal bulge. Lineage: Bacteria; Pseudomonadati; Pseudomonadota; Alphaproteobacteria. The record is from RNAcentral.
CGGGCACUGCCUGGUACGAGCUUUAGCGAACAUCCCUGAGGCGAUAUAACAUCCUAGGGAGCUGUCCCUGCCCGGACCCUGGUCCGGAUCACACGGCGCCCACCUGACGUGAAGGCGUCAGAGGAUAUUCCAGCAAACGGCCAAGGCGGUCCCGCC